This 301-nucleotide ribosomal RNA is filed under the name uncultured bacterium. RNAcentral describes it as "partial 16S ribosomal RNA". It matches the Rfam family "Bacterial small subunit ribosomal RNA", at positions 509 to 809 of the family's 1533-position model. The record is from RNAcentral.
CAGUAGCCGCGGGAAUACGUAGGGUGCGAGCGUUAAUCGGAAUUACUGGGCGUAAAGCGUGCGCAGGCGGUUGUGCAAGACAGAUGUGAAAUCCCCGAGCUUAACUUGGGAACUGCAUUUGUGACUGCACGGCUAGAGUGUGUCUGAGGGGGGUAGAAUUCCACGUGUAGCAGUGAAAUGCGUAGAUAUGUGGAGGAAUACCGAUGGCGAAGGCAGCCCCCUGGGAUAACACUGACGCUCAUGCACGAAAGCGUGGGGAGCAAACAGGAUUAGAUACCCCCGUAGUCCCUGUCUCUUAUAA